This 468-nucleotide ribosomal RNA is filed under the name uncultured bacterium. Its description in RNAcentral is "partial 16S ribosomal RNA". It matches the Rfam family "Bacterial small subunit ribosomal RNA", at positions 28 to 507 of the family's 1533-position model. The record is from RNAcentral.
GACGAACGCUGGCGGCGUGCUUAACACAUGCAAGUCGAACGGAAAGGCCCUGCUUUUGUGGGGUGCUCGAGUGGCGAACGGGUGAGUAACACGUGAGUAACCUGCCCUUGACUUUGGGAUAACUUCAGGAAACUGGGGCUAAUACCGGAUAGGAGCUCCUGCUGCAUGGGGGGGGUUGGAAAGUUUCGGCGGUUGGGGAUGGACUCGCGGCUUAUCAGCUUGUUGGUGGGGUAGUGGCUUACCAAGGCUUUGACGGGUAGCCGGCCUGAGAGGGUGACCGGCCACAUUGGGACUGAGACACGGCCCAGACUCCUACGGGAGGCAGCAGUGGGGAAUAUUGCACAAUGGGCGGAAGCCUGAUGCAGCAACGCCGCGUGCGGGAUGACGGCCUUCGGGUUGUAAACCGCCUUCGCCUGUGACGAAGCGUGAGUGACGGUAAUGGGUAAAGAAGCACCGGCUAACUACGUG